UGAUAUUUCGAGAUCACAUGGUUCUCGAAAUCAAAGGAGCAAUCCGCUGAACGAUGGACUCGCGUCCGAUUAGCUAGCUUGGUGAGAUAACAGCCCACCAAGGUGACGAUCGGUAGCCGGGUUGAGAGACUGAACGGCCACAUUGGGACUGAGACACGGCCCAGACUCCUACGGGAGGCAGCAGUGGGGGAUAUUGCACAAUGGAGGAAACUCUGAUGCAGCAACGCCGCGUGAGGGAAGACGGUUUUCGGAUUGUAAACCUCUGUCCUUAGGGAAGAUUAUGACGGUACCUAAGGAGGAAGCUCCGGCUAACUACGUGCCAGCAGCCGCGGUAAUACGUAGGGAGCAAGCGUUGUCCGGAUUUACUGGGUGUAAAGGGUGCGUAGGCGGCUUAGCAAGUCAGGCGUGAAAACUAUGGGCUUAACCCAUAGACUGCGUUUGAAACUGUUGAGCUUGAGUGAAGUAGAGGUAGGCGGAAUUCCCGGUGUAGCGGUGAAAUGCGUAGAGAUCGGGAGGAACACCAGUGGCGAAGGCGGCCUACUGGGCUUUAACUGACGCUGAGGCACGAAAGCAUGGGUAGCAAACAGGAUUAGAUACCCUGGUAGUCCAUGCCGUAAACGAUGAUUACUAGGUGUGGGGGGUCUGACCCCUUCCGUGCCGGAGUUAACACAAUAAGUAAUCCACCUGGGGAGUACGACCGCAAGGUUGAAACUCAAAGGAAUUGACGGGGGCCCGCACAAGCAGUGGUUGUAUGUGGUUUAAUUCGAAGCAACGCGAAGAACCUUACCAGGGUCUUGACAUCCUAGGAACGGCUAAGAGAUUAGCUGGUGCCUUUCGGGGAAUCUAGAGACAGGUGGUGCAUGGUUGUCGUCAGCUCGUGUCGUGAGAUGUUGGGUUAAGUCCCGCAACGAGCGCAACCCUUGUGAUUAGUUGCUACGCAAGAGCACUCUAAUCAGACUGCCGUUGACAAUACGGAGGAAGGUGGGGACGACGUCAAAAUCAUCAUGCCCUUUAUGACCUGGGCUACACACGUACUACAAUGGUCGCUAACAGAGGGAAGCAAUACCGCGAGGUGGAGCAAAACCCCAAAAGCGAUCUCAGUUCGGAUUGUAGCGCUGCAACCCGCCUACAUGAAGUUGGAAUGGCUAGUAGUAGCGGAUCAGAGGGCCGCGGUGAAUACGUUCCCGGG
RNAcentral lists this ribosomal RNA (1189 nucleotides) under Clostridiaceae bacterium 80Kb. RNAcentral describes it as "bacterial SSU rRNA". It matches the Rfam family "Bacterial small subunit ribosomal RNA", at positions 173 to 1378 of the family's 1533-position model. The record is from RNAcentral. Lineage: Bacteria; Bacillati; Bacillota; Clostridia; Eubacteriales; Clostridiaceae.